UGAGUAAAGCAUGGUCUUCAGCCUCACAGU
RNAcentral lists this non-coding RNA (30 nucleotides) under Rattus norvegicus (Norway rat). Lineage: Eukaryota; Metazoa; Chordata; Mammalia; Rodentia; Muridae. The record is from RNAcentral.